RNAcentral lists this ribosomal RNA (412 nucleotides) under uncultured microorganism. RNAcentral describes it as "bacterial SSU rRNA". It matches the Rfam family "Archaeal small subunit ribosomal RNA", at positions 330 to 745 of the family's 1478-position model. The record is from RNAcentral.
GUGCACCAGGCGCGAAACUUUACAAUGUGCGAAAGCACGAUAAGGGAACUCUGAGUGCCUCCUAAGGAGGCUGUUCUGAUGUCUAAAAGCAACAGAAGUAAGGGCUGGGUAAGACCGGUGCCAGCCGCCGCGGUAACACCGGCAGCCCAAGUGGUAGCCACGUUUAUUGGGUCUAAAGCGUUCGUAGCCGGCCAGGUAAGUUCCUUGGGUAAAUUUAGCCGCUUAAACGGGUUAAGCUUUCAGGGAAUACUGCUUGGCUUGGGACUGGGAGAGGUCAGAGGUACUCCGGGGGUAGGGGUGAAAUCUAUUAAUCCCGUGGGGGACCACCGGUAGCGAAGGCGUCUGACCAGACCAGGUCCGACGGUGAGGGACGAAGGCUAGGGGCGCGAACCGGAUUAGAUACCCGCGUAGU